ACCCCAUGAUCUUAGAGGGCUUUUCUAACCUCGGUGAUUCUGUGAUUCCAUGGCUGCAGGCCAGAGAUCUCUCCUGGGGUAGCCUGGGCGGAUUUGCCUGUGGGGUCACUGAGCGGGAUGUAGCUCUUGGCAGCUGCCCCAGUGCCAGCAGUCCCUGACCAGACAGAAAGGAAGGGACAGUGGCUGGUGGUUCAGGAUAAACAGUGCAGCUUUGGGUACAGGACACUUCUGAGCUUCAGUUAGUCCUGAUUUUCUCAGGAAACCCACUUUUCCAGCAGAUCCCUUCCCAGUCAGUGACUGCAGGAGCGGGAGCACCGUCAGUCCACACAGCACUUAAUGGGCCACCUUUGCCAAAGCUGUGGCCACAGAGGGUUUGCACAGACCCCUCUGCAGCUGGAAAUUUGCAUGAAAAAUUACUGCUGCUCUUUCCUUGCUUCUCUCCAGGCCAAAGCACAGGACUCCUGUCCCGGAGGAGCCCAAUUAGAUCCAGAUGUGUGUCCAGCCUAUGUUUUAAACUUUACCCCGUGGUUACGUAAUGCAGGAUCUCAUGGCUGCAGUUUCACUACACAGAAAGGAAAAGCCAUCACAGGAGCUGUCUGGGAAGAUCAGCCACAGCUGAGCCUGGAGCAGAGCUCAGGGGUUCCUUGUCCCAUCCAGGGGUUCACACAGAGCUGCCACGGCCAGAAGUGGAGCUGGCAGGAACCAGUGUCCAGAGUGUCCCAGCACAUGGGUGAUGGUUUUACUGCACACGCACCUUGUGGCCCAGGCAGAAAAGCUCUAAAUCUUGGUUGCCUGUAGGAUCUUCCAUCCUGGAAGAGACUCUCUCUCUCUAGAUGGCAGCAUUGGUAAAGAGUCUCCAGGCUGUCUCCAACCAAGCCAGGGUCUUGGCACACCUCGCUGCAGUGUGAUGUCACCAGUAAUCCAGGGAUUCAGUCACAAUUCCUGCAUCUCUGAAGCCCUUGGUGAGUGCACCAGCUGCCCAGCUGGGCCCUAAGUGUGGACUCCACAGCACAAAGCUGAAACCCAGCCUGGUAAACCACAGGUCACUUUGAGACUGGCUAAAACAGUUCAGGGAAAUGCUGCACAGUGCUGUUAUUGGUGGGGUAAUUCCAUGUCAUAAAUCCAAAGUCUAAUCCCCAGAUCUUCAGCAUGCAGAGUUCGGGGCAAAAUUUCCAGGUACCACUGAAAAAAAUGUGUUAUUUGCUAUGUUCCCAUCACAGCACUGAGAGCUGUGCCCAGGCUCAGGUGGGAACAGUGGCUGCAGGUGAGCUAAACAAAUUACCAAAUCCAAUCAACCAAUUCUCAUUUGUUCCCUCCAUGUUUUCACACACUGACCAGGGACAUGGGACCAUCAGCACAUCCCAGUGUCUCUGCACUUUCUCCACCAUCAGAAGAGCUGCUCUCAUCCCUUCCCUUAGUGUUCCUCUGCACUCCCCACCUCUGAGGUGAGGCUCUGGAAAAAUCCCAGAAAUGGUGAAGUGGGACCAGCAAGGAGCAGGAUCUGGAUAAGGAGCAGGUUGUGAUUCCCAGCCAGAAUUAACAGGGAUAACAGCUCCAUUCCCCAAUCUGGGAAAUGGCUUUAGAGGUCAGCACGGAACCUGCUGCUCACAGCAUCCCACCUGCACUUCAGUUCUGGAAACUCCCACUCUCCUCUGUGGAUGAACACUCAGCUACACACACACAGCUUGAUUGCAGGGAACAAAUUAAGUUUUAAUUAGGAUGAGGAAUCCUAGCAAGGAGCAACAGUCCAGGUCUGAAAUUCAUCCAGGUGUGUGUGACAGUGUGUGAGAGGAGCCAAGGCUGCAGCUGUUGGGAUGGUUCAUAUGGCAUCUGAGUGAUGAUGUUGAGAUGCUCCAAGGGCUGGAGAACCUCUGCUAUGAGAGAGCUGGGGGUGUUCAGCCUGGAGAAGAGAAGGCUCUGGGGAGACCUUAGAGCCCCUUCCAGUGCCUAAAAGGGCAUUGGGAUGAAAUGGGAUGUUGAAAAGGAAUUCUUGGAUGUGAGGGUGGUGAGGCCCUGGCACAGGUUGCCCAGAGAAGCUGUGGCUGCCCCACCCCUGGAAGUGUCCAAGGCCAGGUUGGACAGGGCUUGGAGCAACCUGGGCUAGUGGAAGGUGUCCCUGCCCAUGGCAGGGGGUGGAACUGGAUGGGUCUUAAGGCCCCUUCUACUACAAGGCAGAGGCUGCUGAAAAAAUCCUUCCUGUCCCCAGGGUCCCUCCUCCACUUUUUCCAGUCCUGGUGAACCUCCUGCAUCCACAGCACAAAAGACAGAAGGUAAGUUGUAGAGGGAAUAAAAGGCAAAGAAAGCCCUGUGUCACAGUGAGCAAGUGUGCAGAGCUUUGAAUCAUUUGACUCCGUGUUUAUCCAGCGCUCCUGGGAGAUGAGGGGAGCUGGAGGGAAGCGGAGGAGUUUAGGAAGUUCACAAGCAGAGUGCUUGUGUUGUUUCUGGCACAAAUUCCCAGUCAUGUGUGUCCCUUCACAAUGCCAUUAACCCCCCAUGGUGGGGCUGGGAGAUCUUUGGGAAUGAUCAGCUCUAUUACAUCCAUGAGGGAAGACUUGGACAGUUGCUCCUGGGCUGCCCAGAGGAGCUUUGCCUUCUCCUCUGGGGUCACCUGCCUGCAAAGAGCCUCUCUGGGUAAAAAACUGGAGACAGGGUCCACAAAUCUGUCCUGUCCCCAAGCAGCCCCAAGAUAAAAGUGUUAAAAUGCUCUGUAAUUAGUCAGCCUCAAAGAAAAAGCUUUAUGAGGGCAGGAAUCAGCAGCUCAGCUCUUACAGUCCGUGGCACAACAUGAAAGAAUGUGAUUUUUAAACAAUGCUGUGGUUUAAUUUGGCUCAGGUGUUUCUUCCUUUGCAAGAAAUUCCAACUGUUUGAGAGUUUGGCCACUGGAAUGACAGAGAAAGAAAUACAUAUACAUAUAGUUAAAUGAUGGUCCUGCCUAGUUCUGGGUACCUACAUCACCCAGGGUGAAGCAUAACCUUCUCCAAAGCAAAAUGAAAGCAUCAGUGAUAUGCUUCAGCUUAGGCUGAAGAAGCUAAUUAGUAUGUAGGUGUUAUUUAAAUACCUAAAUUGGAGUUUAUUGGAAUGCUAAAAUGAAUAUAGCCCAGUUAAGUGCCUUUUUCACCUGAGCUCCCACCAGUUCCAAGAGGUCAGAGCACACUCCACACUCACUGGUUUCUAGCUUUGAGUGUCCUCCCGAUAAAAUUGUUGCUUUAGUGGAAGGUGAAUUGUUAGGUUUUAUGGAGAGUAGAGAAAUUCAAUGUAAAUUGAAGCCCUUUAUUUUUACUUUAUUGCAAAGCAGAAAUGUGUGCCACGUCCAGGGCUGUUCCUCAGUGUCUCGCUCACAGCAGCAGAUGGGACAGUGCAGCUCCUGGCAGCAUUUCAGGCAAUUACUGCUGAUAACAUUUAUGGCAGUAUGAGCAAUGCAAGACAUUUUAUUUUUCUGCUUUCUCAAAAUAAAAAGAGAUGGAAUAGAUCAGUUCAAAUUAAAGAGCAGCAGCAGUGAAAGUAGACAUCAGUGGUUUCAGCUCCCCAGCUGCACUGGUGAGCUCUCUAUCAGGGGGAAUCAAAGUCAGUUUUUAAGCAGCUCUUGGAUGUUCAGCUUUGAACUGGCUCUUGUAGAUAUCUUAUAAAAAGCAGCUGAGCUGCAUUUUUCAAUUUUAGGUACAGGCCUUGAAAAGUCAGAGUAGCUGAAUGUCCCCAUGUAUGUCUGGGAAACUUACUGUGUGUGGAAGAAGGUACAGCAAUAGCUCAGCUCCUGUAGAAAUAACAUAGUGCUGAUUUCUUCUGCCAUUACAGCAAAUUGCUGCUUGGUGUUUCAUAAGGAAUGGUUUUGUAGAUGCAGGGAAAUGCAACAGAUUGUUGCAGAUGCACAAUUGUGCCCAAUGGUUUGUAGCUCAGCUUGCACACGGGAUCCUUCAUCUGAACUUCUGGAGUUUCUUCUCUCCUUUUUCCCUUCUUUGUUUCCAGCUUUUCCUCCUUUUCAGCCUCCUUCACUGUUUCCCAACUUGCCGCCUCCGUACACAAUAUGUUUCCCCUCUAGACUUCCUUUCUCUUCUGCAGUACUGUGGGAACUCAAGACAUCAGGAUCAGUAUUUAACAUCAUCUACAAACCCUCUGGUCCUUACUUCCAGCACUGAUUAAAUUCCCUUUGUGGAGCUCCAGUGUGGAUGUCCGAGGAGUUACUGUACAAUCAAAUGGAAAAGAGACUCCAUAAAUCCCAAUUUUCAGAGCUGGUAAAAGCAACUUAUAAAUUAAUCUGAGAAAAAACCAGAUUCAAACAGAGAAAAAAACAGAAGAGGCUCCACUGUGAGCUGGAUGGAUUAAACCUCACUGGUCCAGUUGUACAGCAGCUCCAUGGCCACAACCCUGCACAUGCCCCAAAGAUCUUCUGAAAAGUUAGUCUCCCUCAAAACAACAUUUGAAAUGUCCUUCAGAAACAAGUUUUGACACCAUUUUUUUCACUUUAAUGAUGAUUACCAUUAUUUUAAAUCUCUGUGGAGAGCCUGUGAGUGACGGCCAAACACAGAAGGUGCUGAUGCCAAAACCAGAGAGGAUGUAUCCGUGGUGGGAGAAUACACAGGCAGGAAAAUUCCAGGGAAUUUUCCUAACAGCAAGAGACUUUGCUAAAAGUUAUUUGAUGGAAUUUUUGCUGGAACACUCUUGAAGACAUCUCUAAUUUUUAUGUAUUUAAAGCUCUGUAGAUUUUCACUUUAAUUCACUCCACAGAAACUGCUAUAAAUGUAAAGAAUGUUUCAGCAACAUCUUUUAGCAUAAACGAUGCACUGGAAACAUUACAAAACGUGGAGUAUUCAGUUACAUCCCGGGGUCCCAUGGCUUUUGUUCCACAUACAAUGAGAUGUAUGAGGCCUGAGAGGUAAAGGUUAAAUUAUGGAUAUGUAUUCAGCUUUUCAGAAGGCUGAGAAGCUGUCAGGCCCCGCAGCCCCUCUCACAUGAAAGGCUUGUCAGCACGUGUUGCCCAGAUCGGUGGGAGAUCCACAUUGGAGACAAGCAGACAUGUCAGGGGCUGAAAGGACAAAGAAGAAUAGAACUAGUAGGGUCUAUAAACCCAAUAUAACUUGUGUUUGUUCCCUAACCACUCCAAAACAGAGGCCAACUGUUAACAGAGGCAAAGCCAACUCCAUCUUUUGCAGGCUGACAAAUGGUCAUGUAAGUUACCAAAUAACCCAAGACCUCGGGAUUAAACUUCUCCAAUUGUUUUCACAUGAUGCAACUUUAAAUCUUGCUUUUGAGCAGUAUUAAAUUUCCUUUCAUUCCCAUAAACUUCAGAAAAAGUUGACUGCUCUCACAUUUCAGACUGUGACCCAGCUAACUUGCACUUUUCCCCUCUGCUAGUCUGGAGAACAGAAUAAUGAAAUUCAGACAACAGUGACCAAAUGUUGUUCCGUAGAACUUUCCUUUUACAAAACAGAUGAAUACUCCUGGGCUCCAAAACACUGCAGGGAACAAAACUUUCAAACCUUAUGGAAAUAAAAUAGUAAGCCUAUGCAGUGACUUCAUCUCCUUUAUCAGAUCAGAGGCAUUUUCACUGGAAUUGAAAUGGAUUUAAAAAAACCCACCAACUCUAAAUAGAGGAAAAGAAUUAAAAAAUCCCACUGAAGCCAUUAGUGAAAUACUGCUUUAUUUAAAAACCCCACACCCAUGUGAGAAAAAGCUAAAUUUCACAGAGCUGUAGAGGGAAAAAUACAUCUCCAUCAUCCUCCUAGUUGACAUAAUUCUUUGUUGCAGAUAGAAGUGUGCUUUUAGAACACAGGAAAAUAAAUAUUUCAGAAUUUGUGAUUAAAAAGGUGAUAAGCAAAUGCACUGUGUGCUGUGAUUGGGACAAAAGGCUAUAGAAAGGGACCACAGACACUGCGGGGAGGUUGGAAAGGUUGGAAUUUCUCCCUGGAGGUGCUGAGCAGUCUCGGAUCUCACCAAAACCCCACCAAGUGGGUCCCCUCAGCAUCCUCCCAGACUGUAUUUAUACAUCCCUGUAUUUACACAACCAGAAAUACCCACUGUGCUGCUGGUGUGAGUGGAAUUGCAUUCAUUCAAAGCCCAUUGCAAAUUUAGCCACCAGAGUCAAAAUAAAAGGAGCCAAAUAUAUAAAUCCAGCAGACGAGGUUUAUGGGGGAACUAACCCAAACAUUCAACAUCAAGAUUUAGUGCAGCCAAAUGGUUCUAAGUAAAGGGGGUCCCUUACAUCAUGUUGGGUCCUGGGGGUAUAGUCUCAGUUUUAGUGGCCCCCUAAACUCAUGCUGAUAGCAGUAAAAGUUUUACAUGCAAAAUGAGUGGAAAAUACGAGAUGGGAGAUAGUACAAUAUCAGGCUAUAAACCCGAUACCCAAACCCCAUAACUUCCAUGCAAAUUCCACCCAGGGAUCCCCAGUUCAGUUUGUCUUAACUGAGAGUCUUAAGGGUGAAUUGAAAAGUUGUUGGAAUAAAAAGCUGUUUAAGACGCCAAAUCCUUCACAAAAUCCCUGGGUAGACUGGUAAGUAAAUACACUGGAAAGGCAGAUGCAGAGGCCACCUUGUGAACCUGUCAAAGCACCAAUCUUGGAUCUGUUGUUCUCCUGCAAAACUUGACGUUCUCCUUCCUCUAACGACUGAAGGAUUUUACUGAUUCAUGUGCCUGGCCACAAAGAUGAGAAUUUUUAGGAGGGUGGUGAAAUCUCCCAUGUUCAUCCUGACGGUGCCUUAGCCCUUCCCUGCAGGACUAUUUACUCCCACUUGGGCCGGGGCUACCUGCAGGUGGUGUGAUCAUGGAUUAUUGAGUGGACUAUUGUUCAGUUUUCUAAACUAUUGCCUUAAUGGCCUCCUCCCUGAGUCGGGUUUUUUGAGGGUUGGGUUAGCUGAUUCCUUUUGGAAAAAGCAAACAAAGUCUGUGUGAGGAACUUUGAAGUUAAGGAGGAGUUUCACCUGAAAUUA
Long non-coding RNA from Corapipo altera (White-ruffed manakin), 6920 nucleotides. RefSeq lists it as uncharacterized. The record is from RefSeq and is a predicted model, not a curated record. The transcript has 2 exons. Lineage: Eukaryota; Metazoa; Chordata; Aves; Passeriformes; Pipridae.